UUGAGGGCGCUCCGUCCAUGGUUGCAAACCUCGGGAGGUGCUCUGUUUUGUUUUUGCAAAUGGCAGAGAAAAUUUCUGUUAGAGAUACCGUCCAUGGACUUGGAUCUCGGUGAGGGUCGCAUGAGGGAGCGACCUGAGGGAUGCAACGGACUGGAGAUUGGCCGAAUUCCACAGGCCCAUCGCCAACAAGGGGACCCCGCGCAGGGUCGACAUGAGUCCUAGCAGCGGCGCGCCACGUCUGCUGCCAGUCCUUCCUCUCUGAUCUACAUUCAGGAAUCGGGAUUUAGGAAGAGGAGCUAUGACGGGUUUCAUUCGAAGAGAAGGGGGCAGAAUUCAGGAAGAGAACCUAGGACUGAGGAAGAGGAGAAAGCGACUGCAGAAUAGGUCGAGGUUGGCUCAGUUUUGAACUAAAGUUUAUUUUGUGCCAUAACGAGAUGGCUGAAGCAAAGGCCAUCUUAACAAUUCGGCUACUAGCACACAGAUUGAUGCUCAUGCGUCUGGAUAAGUUUCAAUUUCUCUUUUAUAGAUAAAGUUUUGAAAAGCAUGCCAAAGGAGAAUGAGCUGAACAUGUAAGUAAUAGGGGACUCUCCGCAACA
Non-coding RNA from Lolium perenne, 596 nucleotides. The record is from RefSeq and is a predicted model, not a curated record. NCBI's taxonomy places the organism in Eukaryota, Viridiplantae, Streptophyta, Magnoliopsida, Poales, Poaceae.